RNAcentral lists this ribosomal RNA (398 nucleotides) under uncultured bacterium. RNAcentral's name for it is "partial 16S ribosomal RNA". It matches the Rfam family "Bacterial small subunit ribosomal RNA", at positions 338 to 733 of the family's 1533-position model. The record is from RNAcentral.
CCUACGGGAGGCAGCAGUGAGGAAUAUUGGUCAAUGGGCGCGAGCCUGAACCAGCCAAGUAGCGUGAAGGAUGACUGCCCUCCGGGUUUUAACCUUCUUUUAUAAAGAAAUAAAGUGAGGCAUGUGUGCCUUUUUGUCUGUACUUUAUGAUUAAGGAUCGGCUAACUCCGUGCCAGCAGCAGCGGUAAUACGGAGGAUCCGAGCGUUAUCCGGAUUUAUUGGGGGUAAAGGGCGCGUAGGUGGGUUGUUAAGUCAGUUGUGAAAGCCUAUGGCUUAACCGUAAAAUUGCAAUUGAUACUGGCAGUCUAGAGUAUGGGAGAGGUAGGCGGAAUUCUUGGUGUAGGGGUAAAAUGCGUAGAGAUCAAGAAGAAUACUCAUUGCGAAGGCAGCUUGCUAGA